CAGGACGAACGCUGGCGGCGUGCCUAAUACAUGCAAGUCGAACGGUCUUUCUAUGGAAGCUUGCUUCCACUGAGAAGAUAGUGGCGAACGGGUGAGUAACACGUGGGUAACCUGCCCAUAAGAGGGGGAUAACAUCCGGAAACGGGUGCUAAUACCGCAUAGUUUUCUUGAUCACAUGAUUGAGAAAGGAAAGACGGCCUUUGUGCUGUCGCUUAUGGAUGGACCCGCGGCGUAUUAGUUAGUUGGUGAGGUAACGGCUCACCAAGACGAUGAUACGUAGCCGACCUGAGAGGGUGAUCGGCCACAUUGGGACUGAGACACGGCCCAAACUCCUACGGGAGGCAGCAGUAGGGAAUCUUCCGCAAUGGACGAAAGUCUGACGGAGCAACGCCGCGUGAGUGAAGAAAGGUUUUCGGAUCGUAAAACUCUGUUGUCAGAGAAGAACAAGUUGGAGAGUAACUGCUCCAGCCUUGACGGUAUCUGACCAGAAAGCCACGGCUAACUACGUGCCAGCCGCCGC
RNAcentral lists this ribosomal RNA (520 nucleotides) under uncultured bacterium. Its description in RNAcentral is "bacterial SSU rRNA". It matches the Rfam family "Bacterial small subunit ribosomal RNA", at positions 25 to 518 of the family's 1533-position model. The record is from RNAcentral.